This 253-nucleotide ribosomal RNA is filed under the name uncultured bacterium. Its description in RNAcentral is "partial 16S ribosomal RNA". It matches the Rfam family "Bacterial small subunit ribosomal RNA", at positions 524 to 776 of the family's 1533-position model. The record is from RNAcentral.
UACAGAGGGUGCGAGCGUUAAUCGGAAUUACUGGGCGUAAAGCGUGCGUAGACGGCUAUCUAAGUCGGGUGUGAAAGCCCCGGGCUCAACCUGGGAAUUGCAUUCGAGACUGAAUAGCUAGGGUACGGUAGAGGGAAGCGGAAUUUCCGGUGUAGCGGUGAAAUGCGUAGAUAUCGGAAGGAACAUCAGUGGGGAAAGCGGCUUCCUGGACCAGUACCGACGUUCAGGCACGAAAGCGUGGGGAGCAAACAGG